Molecule: ribosomal RNA, 254 nt
Filed under: uncultured bacterium
Lineage: Bacteria
Description: partial 16S ribosomal RNA
Rfam family: Bacterial small subunit ribosomal RNA
Source: RNAcentral
UACGGGGGGAGCAAGCGUUGUUCGGAUUUACUGGGCGUAAAGGGCGCGUAGGCGGCCAGCACAAGUCGGUUGUGAAAUCUCCGGGCUUAACUCGGAAAGGUCAACCGAUACUGUGCGGCUAGAGUGCGGAAGGGGCAACUGGAAUUCUCGGUGUAGCGGUGAAAUGCGUAGAUAUCAAGUGGAACACCAGUGGCGAAGGCGAGUCUCUGGACAUUUCCUGACGCUGAGGCACGAAAGCCAGGGGAGCAAACGGG